UCAGCAGUUCUGCCGUCAGAUGGACGUAAC
This 30-nucleotide non-coding RNA is filed under the name Mus musculus (house mouse). The record is from RNAcentral. Lineage: Eukaryota; Metazoa; Chordata; Mammalia; Rodentia; Muridae.